RNAcentral lists this ribosomal RNA (253 nucleotides) under uncultured bacterium. Its description in RNAcentral is "partial 16S ribosomal RNA". It matches the Rfam family "Bacterial small subunit ribosomal RNA", at positions 524 to 776 of the family's 1533-position model. The record is from RNAcentral.
UACAGAGGGUGCGAGCGUUAAUCGGAAUUACUGGGCGUAAAGCGUGCGUAGACGGCUAUCUAAGUCGGGUGUGAAAGCCCCGGGCUCAACCUGGGAACUGCGUCCGAUACUGGCAGGCUUGAAUCCGGGAGAGGGAUGUGGAAUUCCAGGUGUAGCGGUGAAAUGCGUAGAUAUCUGGAGGAACACCGGUGGCGAAGGCGGCAUCCUGGACCGGCAUUGACGCUGAGGCGCGAAAGCUAGGGGAGCAAACGGG